GCAUGAAGCCGGAAUCGCUAGUAAUCGCAGAUCAGAAUGCUGCGGUGAAUACGUUCCCGGGUCUUGUACACACCGCCCGUCACACCAUGGGAGUCGAUAACGCCCGAAGUCAGUGACCCAACCGAGAGGAGGGAGCUGCCGAAGGCGGGAUGGAUAACUGGGGUGAAGUCGUAACAAGGUACC
RNAcentral lists this ribosomal RNA (183 nucleotides) under uncultured bacterium. Its description in RNAcentral is "partial 16S ribosomal RNA". It matches the Rfam family "Bacterial small subunit ribosomal RNA", at positions 1318 to 1500 of the family's 1533-position model. The record is from RNAcentral.